RNAcentral lists this small RNA (117 nucleotides) under Tumebacillus sp. RNAcentral's name for it is "Guanidine-I sequence". It matches the Rfam family "Guanidine-I riboswitch aptamer". From Rfam's summary of the family: This family represents a conserved RNA structure found upstream of the ykkC and yxkD genes in Bacillus subtilis and related genes in other bacteria. Lineage: Bacteria; Bacillati; Bacillota; Bacilli; Caryophanales; Alicyclobacillaceae. The record is from RNAcentral.
UCAUUCGUUCUCUAGGGUUCCGCGAUUGGAAGGUUUUCAAUCGGGCUGGUCCAAGAGGGAACGCACGGCAAGCAGGCAUGCUUGCGGUGUACACGGAGGGAUAAAAGCCCGGGAGGA